GCCUUUUAGCCUCCUCGUCUAAGCCUGCGUGCGGCGCGUAAGCGCUGAUGACGUUGAGGACUACACCCCCAAUAACCAACUUAAUAGACAUUAACCUGUCAUUCACUCGCCUAACCUCGACCACGGACUCUCUUAGGUCCCUAUCAACCAAGAUGCCCAUUCCAUUCUUACCCCUCUCGAGCCCAGAGUACCAUAGCUUAAACCCAUCAGCAUCC
This 215-nucleotide long non-coding RNA is filed under the name Nicotiana benthamiana. RNAcentral describes it as "long non-coding RNA (NBEN_LNC000483)". Lineage: Eukaryota; Viridiplantae; Streptophyta; Magnoliopsida; Solanales; Solanaceae. The record is from RNAcentral.